GGGGUGCAACACGAGGACUUCCCAGGAGGUCACCCAUCCUAGUACUACUCUCGCCCAAGCACGCUUACCUGCGGAGUUCUGAUGGGAUCCGGUGCAUUAGUGCUGGUAUGAUCGCACCC
This 119-nucleotide ribosomal RNA is filed under the name Arabis alpina (gray rockcress). Its description in RNAcentral is "rRNA ENSRNAG00050208667". Lineage: Eukaryota; Viridiplantae; Streptophyta; Magnoliopsida; Brassicales; Brassicaceae. The record is from RNAcentral.